RNAcentral lists this ribosomal RNA (474 nucleotides) under uncultured bacterium. RNAcentral's name for it is "SSU rRNA". It matches the Rfam family "Bacterial small subunit ribosomal RNA", at positions 26 to 518 of the family's 1533-position model. The record is from RNAcentral.
AGGAUGAACGCUGGCGGCGUGCCUAACACAUGCAAGUCGAACGUCCUGUCUCGCAAGAGGCAGGGAGUGGCGGACGGGUGAGUACCACGUGGGUCAUCUACCGUGAGGUGAGGAAUACCGGCGAGAAAUCGCCGACAAGACCGCAUAGGCUCGAUGCAAGUCGAGCAAAGCUCUUUCGAGAGAGGGAGCGCCACACGAGGAGCCUGCGCCCGAUUAGCUAGCUGGUGGAGUAACGGUUCACCAGGGCGACGAUCGGUAGCUGGUCUGAGAGGACGAUCAGCCACACUGGGAUUGAGAACGGCCCAGACUCCUACGGGGGGCAGCAGUGAGGAAUUUUCGUCAAUGGGGGCAACCCUGAACGAGCAACGCCGCGUGCAGGAAGAAGGUUUUCGGAUCGUAAACUGCUUUUCGUCGGGGAAGAGAACGGACGGUACCCGAGGAAUCAGCCCCGGCUAACUACGUGCCAGCAGCCGC